Molecule: ribosomal RNA, 1230 nt
Filed under: uncultured Halomonas sp.
Lineage: Bacteria; Pseudomonadati; Pseudomonadota; Gammaproteobacteria; Oceanospirillales; Halomonadaceae
Description: bacterial SSU rRNA
Rfam family: Bacterial small subunit ribosomal RNA
Source: RNAcentral
AUACCGCAUACGUCCUACGGGAGAAAGGGGGCUCCGGCUCCCGCCAUCGGAUGAGCCUAUGUCGGAUUAGCUGGUUGGUGAGGUAAAGGCUCACCAAGGCGACGAUCCGUAGCUGGUCUGAGAGGAUGAUCAGCCACAUCGGGACUGAGACACGGCCCGAACUCCUACGGGAGGCAGCAGUGGGGAAUAUUGGACAAUGGGGGCAACCCUGAUCCAGCCAUGCCGCGUGUGUGAAGAAGCCCCUCGGGUUGUAAAGCACUUUCAGUGAGGAAGAACGCCUGGUAGUUAAUACCCAUCAGGAAAGACAUCACUCACAGAAGAAGCACCGGCUAACUCCGUGCCAGCAGCCGCGGUAAUACGGAGGGUGCGAGCGUUAAUCGGAAUUACUGGGCGUAAAGCGCGCGUAGGUGGCUUGAUAAGCCGGUUGUGAAAGCCCCGGGCUCAACCUGGGAACGGCAUCCGGAACUGUCAAGCUAGAGUGCAGGAGAGGAAGGUAGAAUUCCCGGUGUAGCGGUGAAAUGCGUAGAGAUCGGGAGGAAUACCAGUGGCGAAGGCGGCCUUCUGGACUGACACUGACACUGAGGUGCGAAAGCGUGGGUAGCAAACAGGAUUAGAUACCCUGGUAGUCCACGCCGUAAACGAUGUCGACCAGCCGUUGGGUGCCUAGCGCACUUUGUGGCGAAGUUAACGCGAUAAGUCGACCGCCUGGGGAGUACGGCCGCAAGGUUAAAACUCAAAUGAAUUGACGGGGGCCCGCACAAGCGGGUGGGAGCAUGUGGUUUAAUUCGAUGCAACGCGAAGAACCUUACCUACUCUUGACAUCCUGCGAAUUUGUUAGAGAUCCCUUGGUGCCUUCGGGAACGCAGAGACAGGUGCUGCAUGGCUGUCGUCAGCUCGUGUUGUGAAAUGUUGGGUUAAGUCCCGUAACGAGCGCAACCCUUGUCCUUAUUUGCCAGCGCGUAAAGGCGGGAACUCUAAGGAGACUGCCGGUGACAAACCGGAGGAAGGUGGGGACGACGUCAAGUCAUCAUGGCCCUUACGAGUAGGGCUACACACGUGCUACAAUGGUCGGUACAAAGGGUUGCCAACUCGCGAGAGUGAGCCAAUCCCGAAAAGCCGAUCUCAGUCCGGAUCGGAGUCUGCAACUCGACUCCGUGAAGUCGGAAUCGCUAGUAAUCGUGGAUCAGAAUGCCACGGUGAAUACGUUCCCGGGCCUUGUACACACCGCCC